RNAcentral lists this long non-coding RNA (3524 nucleotides) under Jatropha curcas. RNAcentral's name for it is "long non-coding RNA (JCUR_LNC001733)". The record is from RNAcentral. Lineage: Eukaryota; Viridiplantae; Streptophyta; Magnoliopsida; Malpighiales; Euphorbiaceae.
AAAAAAAAAAAAAAAACAAAACAAAAAAAGAAGCUCAUUAAGUAAAAAACCCACAAAGGGCGGCUUAAGCAAAAGUUAGAGCACAUAAUAAAAGCAUAAUAAAAAAGGAGAAAAAAGAAAAAAGGAAAUAAAACAAAAUAAAAAUGCAUUUACCUGUAGUAGAAGUGGGCUCACCAUCGGACCGAGUACCGAGCGAGAGUCCCGAGCAUGUUCUCCCAGCCAAGUAAAUGUCUUAGCCAGAAUAAGUGGAAAUGGCAUGUGUCACCUAGCCAUUUGCUCAACUAUGGCACUAGUCGAAGGUUGCCAUAGCCAUCAAUACCACUAAGAAGCAAAUACUGGCUCAAAAUGCAUAAAUAGACAAGUGGAGGCCAGUACGGGCUAGUGCUUGAACAACAGGACUGAGACAUGACAGAAUACUUCUAUAUGGCUUAAGAAAACACGUUCUGUGAUGCAUGGAGAAAACACAAAAUAACACAAAUAUAUACAAACAAGGGGAUAGGACUUAGGAAAUGCAUAACCUCCACCCUUAUAUCUCCCACAUAUGAUUUAUGGCUGAAAUAUGAAAAAGUGGUUGGAUCUAUAAACCAUCAUGGGGUUUUGGACCAACGUCUCUCGCAUUUAUUGAAUGAAUGACACAUCAUUAUUUUAUUACGGUAACCCUAAGGGAAGGAACUAGGGUCAUUACAUGAGCUUUAGUCGAGUUAAACAAGUCUUGGGUUCCAUAAGUGAGAAUUGGUUGUUUCCUCCCAUUUACCUUUAGGUCUAAGCCAAUGGUGAUAACGGAUUGUGUGAAUUCUUUUAAUAUACCAAAAGGUACAAGGCUUAUGGGUAGUGUCUAUUAGUAGCGGAUCCCAACAAUAGAGUAGAAUGAAAGGACCACAUCCCCCAAUAUCACCUUUAGGGUUUUAGGUAGAAAAGAGAUUAAGAAGAGAAUUAUGCAUGAAUGCCAGAAAAUGUAAACUCAAUUUUAAGUUAAUAAUGUUAUCAACAAGUGUGAAUAAUAGGACAACAUCGGAGUCAACUCCUUACAAGAACCCAAAAUCAAAAAGCCAGAGAUUCUAGGUUUAAUCUCUAGUAGAGUCGCUAAAUUGAGGAUGUAAUUUGAGUUUUUGAUGAUUUGAAAGCUAAAGACGAGCUUGGUUCAUUUUAUCUUAUUAAAUUGGUUUUCAUUUUUAGACCCAUUUAUUGAUCCUCAGAAAGGCGACCCUUUUUGAAAAUUGGGUUUUUGUAAAACAGCUCUUACUUUGGUAAGAGAUUUUAUUUAGAGUUGCCACCCUCUUUAAAGAAAACAUCACGAAUUGAUUAUUUCUUUGGAAAUAAUUAACUCAGUUUUAACCAUAGACUGAGUAAGCGAGUUAGGCAUGAUCUCGAGAAGGUGUUAGAUACUCGAACUGCCUGAUUAAAAACCGACAUUCUUUAUUAUCCAUUCAUUCACAAUUUUGAUAAUAUUAUUAACUUUAACUGAGGUGUAAAAUAUUUUUCUGCAAUUUUUGAAAACAUGGCAAUCAAGCAUAUUAAUAACCAACCAAAAUAUAUUAACCAAAUAAAGAAAGGGAGGGAGGAGAAAAGAAUACAACUCACCACCUCAUUAUACAAUCUACCAUUUAACCUAUUAAAAUUUCUCAACCCAUUAAUUAUUACAAAUAAGUAAUUUGAUAGGACCCAUUAAGGUCCUUUACAUAAUGCUCAUUAAUAAAAAUGCAAUAAAUGAAAGGACCAAACAAGCAUAUAAAGUCAACAAUUAGCAAACACAUCAAUGCACAACAACAAUAGUUCAAUAGUUCAUACAAUCCACAACAACAAUCAAUAGUUAUCAACACAAAUUCAUUUAAAUGUUAGAAGAUUAAGCAAUCAAAUCAAAAGUUAGUGUAAUAUCCGAAUUUUUUUUGAAAACUGAAAGAGUUCAUAAAAUAUUUUUUAUUAUGAAAUAUUUUCCUAAUUUAAUGCGAUUUUACGUCUUAAGCAUUGACUAUUGGGCUAUGUCAAAUAGUGCAUAUUAAUAAUUAGUAAUAUAUUUGAUUAUUAAGAAUACAAAUUUAUAAUGUUGAUAACAUUUUGCUUAUGUUUAUAUAUAUAUAUAUAUAUAUAUGAAUGGUCAAAAUAAGAAUUUAUAAAGACUAUUAGAAUUAUUUAACAAUUUCUAAUAUUCAUUGUCAAAGUAUAAAUCUAUAAUAAUAAUUUAUCUUUACGUUAUAUGUAAAAUAUGUACAUACAAGUGAUUUAAAGGAAUGAAAAGAAGAAAUGAAAUAAGAGAAAGGAACAAAGAAUAAAAAAAUAAAAAAAUAAAAAAAAAAAAAAAAAAGGAAGAAAGAGAAGGCAAACCCUCUCUCGCUCUCGCUCUCUCCCCGACAACCUCUUCUGUUCCGAUUUUCGGUCUCCGGCAUCCGAUUCCGACAGAGGGAGCACAUCAUAUUCAAGAGCUUAACGAGAUGAAUGAUCUGGCAGCUUUGGUUCGCGAGAUAAGGGUACAGAUCGAGAGGAAACUUGAUCUAUAGGAAUCGGCACCCCUGUGAUUCCAUUUUCAGGUGAACCAUGCCGUUUUUGGCGACUCUAAGCCAUGAGACAGGUGCGGCUGGCAUCUUCUCCUCCCCUUCUUUUGUUUUACGACUUCAAUCUUGAGUGUUGUGCCCUGAAUCGAAAAAGCCCCAAAGAGGGGCGGCUGACCGAAUGUUUUGGGUCGAUUUCUGGCCAAAUGAGACACAUCCAGCUCAAAUCGAUAAUAUAUUCAGGCUCACAAAAUUUUGAGCGUUUUGGUGUAAACCUCGUGAAUUUUUGGCAAAAACGUGACUUCUCGGCCACAGUGCACGGCAGCAGUCCAGUCACCAGCCGGCAAGUCUCCGGCGUUCGGCAAGACCUCAGGAGUACAAUCACCCUCUCCUCGUGCUAGUUCUGAAUCCGAACUCCGAAUCGCAAUUGGUAUACUUUAAAGUUUAAUUUAAUAAUUUCAGUGUAAAUCGUAAAUUGAAAAUUUAUUAGUAUCGAUUAAAAUAACUAAGUUAGUGGUGUGAAAUUAAUGGAGUAAUUAAUUUCUAGUGAUGAAAAGAAAUUAACAGAUUAUAAAUUAUCGAUUGAAGAUGGCAAGAAUUUGUAAAAUGUGUGAAAUUGAAACUAAAGACAAUUAGGUGUAUCAAUGAGUUAAUCAAAAACAGAAAGAAAUGUUGAAAAUGUGGUUUGAGAAAUAUUGAGAAUGGCGGAUGGAAAAUUCUUGUGAAGUACCCGGAGGAUGGACUGUGUUAUUAUUGUGAUAUGUGAAAUUCAGACAGAUCAAAUUAUAAAUAAAAUGCUGUCUGAUUUUUUGACUAAAAGAAAGGUUUAUUCAAGAAUUAAAUUUAUUGUAUAAAAUAAAAAUUGCGUUAUUAAGGAAGGAAAUAAAUUAAUGAAAGAGUAAGACACUUAAAUAAAAUGCAAAAUUUGUAUUUUUAUUUGAUUAAAUUUAAUAAAGUAUUUGAAAAUGGAAUUUUAAGUGAUAUUUUAAGAAAAAGCAAGGUAAAGAGAUCAAGGAUUUUUAUUGUAAAACCUUGUUA